UCCUACCCAUCUGAUGCUGCAAAGUGGCAGU
This 31-nucleotide non-coding RNA is filed under the name Rattus norvegicus (Norway rat). The record is from RNAcentral. Lineage: Eukaryota; Metazoa; Chordata; Mammalia; Rodentia; Muridae.